Molecule: unclassified non-coding RNA, 358 nt
Filed under: soil metagenome
Description: partial contains 5.8S ribosomal RNA, internal transcribed spacer 2, and large subunit ribosomal RNA
Rfam family: 5.8S ribosomal RNA (bases 1-120)
Source: RNAcentral
GAUGAAGAACGUAGCGAAAUGCGAUAAGUAAUGUGAAUUGCAGAAUUCAGUGAAUCAUCGAAUCUUUGAACGCACAUUGCGCCCGUCAGUAUUCUGGCGGGCAUGCCUGUUCGAGCGUCAUUACGCCCCUCAAGUCCUCUGUGGACUUGGUGUUGGGGAUCGGCGAGGCUGGUUUUCCAGCACAGCCGUCCCUUAAAUUAAUUGGCGGUCUCGCCGUGGCCCUCCUCUGCGCAGUAGUAAAACACUCGCAACAGGAGCCCGGCGCGGUCCACUGCCGUAAAACCCCCCAACUUUUUAUAGUUGACCUCGAAUCAGGUAGGACUACCCGCUGAACUUAAGCAUAUCAAUAAGCGGAGGA